GAUGAACGCUGGCGGCGUGCCUAACACAUGCAAGUCGAGCGAACAGACGAGGAUCUUGCUCCGCUUACGUGAGCGGCGGGCGGGUGAGUAACACGAGUAUGACCUGCCGAGAAGGCUAGGAUACGUUAGGGAAACCUGAUAUAACAUACGAUCAUAUAGUGAACGUGGGGGUUCAUCAGACAAAGACGUAUUUGCUGACACUAAUUCAGGUUUCCGCGCCGCAUUAGCUAGUUGGUAGGGUAACGGCUUACCAAGGCAACGAUGCGUAGCUGACCUGAGAGGGUGAUCGGCCACACUGGAACUGAGACACGGUCCAGACUCCUACGGGAGGCAGCAGUAGGGAAUCUUCCGCAAUGGGCGAAAGCCUGACGGAGCCACGCCGCGUGUGUGAUGAAGGUCUUCGGAUCGUAAAACUCUGUUAUUAGGGAAGAACAAAUGUGUAAGUAUCUCUGCACGUCUUGACGGUACCUAAACAGAAAGCAACGGCUAACUUCGUG
This 497-nucleotide ribosomal RNA is filed under the name uncultured bacterium. RNAcentral's name for it is "partial 16S ribosomal RNA". It matches the Rfam family "Bacterial small subunit ribosomal RNA", at positions 28 to 507 of the family's 1533-position model. The record is from RNAcentral.